This is a long non-coding RNA of Cynoglossus semilaevis (tongue sole), 725 nucleotides long. RefSeq lists it as uncharacterized. The transcript is spliced from 3 exons. NCBI's taxonomy places the organism in Eukaryota, Metazoa, Chordata, Actinopteri, Pleuronectiformes, Cynoglossidae. The record is from RefSeq and is a predicted model, not a curated record.
CCUAAUUUAAAACUUACAUGUAUAAAUAAACCAAAUACCUUAUAUAUUAUUAUUUAUUAUUUUAUAGAAAAUUGCAAAUACUGAAAUACAUUUAAACAAGUCUUAGAUAGGAGUAAUGAGAGUGUGGAUUUUUAACCAUAAACUCAUACAGGCUCUACAUAUAAAAUCGUUUUCUUAGUAGCUCGGCUAAGCUAAGGCUAACCCACUUUUUUAAACUGUCUGUGCCUCAAAUGUUGACUUACUAUCACUUACUGGGUUGUCUUUUCAACAAUGUUUUUCAAAAUUGACUUUAUGCUGUAAUUUGUAUUAGUUUGUCAAAAAUAACGUUGUUUUUACAUAUUUUAAUUUUUAUAUUUUCAUAAACGAUCACAUAAAGCUAUUUAAAAGUCACAUGGUGACGGGACAUUGUCACGUGACUACAAAUGACGCGGGAGUUGCUGGUCUCGCAAGUCCAGUGUUAACAACAACGUCAACAACGUCGAAACGCCCCUAGCUAACCGUCAUACGAAUUAACGAGACACCUAGACAAAAGACAGGCUGAACCUCGGUGAUUAUUCUGACACCUGCAGUAUCACAGACAACGUUUCCUGAAAACAUCCUGACACUGAGGUUCAAUACUUCAUUCAAAUUCUCAAAUCAUGUGCCAGUCCAGUCACCUGAUCCUGGCCGUAGGAGUGGACAGUAGACAGAAAUAAACCGGUGAUGUCAUCAGUGCUGGAGUUGAG